CAAGGUGUAGAAUAUUGCAUAUUCUAUGUUUCUAUUGAUUAUAUAUGGAUGUCUGGAUUGGCAUAAGUAACAGAUGGUAUCAAUAAGUCACAAGGUUUUCUUGUAUGAGAGCUCUGGAAUGUAAGUUAGGGGUUUUGUCCUUAUAUGGCUUGAGUUAUGCUCUGACGUCAGUAUGGGCACUUCUAUAUAGUAACUGAACAAAUGGACACGAGGUCUCUUGGCUCUCUUUCCUGUACGAGAUGUAACUCUCCCAUCAGAAAUUACCAUCUGCUGUUGAACAUCUGUUAUCCUGUAACAUCAUUUGUUGUUUUAUUAUGUAUCAGUAACUAAGAAUAAACCUG
Molecule: non-coding RNA, 341 nt
Organism: Pelobates cultripes (western spadefoot toad)
Lineage: Eukaryota; Metazoa; Chordata; Amphibia; Anura; Pelobatidae
Source: the annotation of a GenBank genome assembly